Molecule: long non-coding RNA, 425 nt
Filed under: Rattus norvegicus (Norway rat)
Lineage: Eukaryota; Metazoa; Chordata; Mammalia; Rodentia; Muridae
Description: long non-coding RNA NONRATT008800
Source: RNAcentral
AUUGGACAGUAUAGUAAAUAAGUGGAGCAUAUUUGAUUUAAAUAGAAAAAGAAAUAUUUUUUCCAAGUCUAAUGCUUUUGUAGGAAUAUUCUGUACAUAUGAAAGAAAGAAAAGGAAUGGCCAGCAUGUCUGGAGAACUGGUAUCUGUCUCCUCACUUGCUAGUGAAGGAUUGCUAUGCAUUUAUGUCAUUCUAUGUCACAGGUCAAGACAAAACUUAAGCCAAACUCUUCAGAAAGCACAAUGAGUAAAAAGCAGGAAGACACUUUGAUGAAGCUUCAUAACCAAGAAGUCACUGUUUUCUUGGAUUCUCAUCCUCCCCAGUUCACCAGGCAUCAAGAAAUCUGGUCUGUCCUGGAGAACGUUUGGACUUCAAUAUAUCAGAACAGCACAGAUGUAUUUCAAACACUGGACUCAAGUUCAACCC